RNAcentral lists this small nuclear RNA (79 nucleotides) under Homo sapiens (human). Its description in RNAcentral is "partial ncRNA". Lineage: Eukaryota; Metazoa; Chordata; Mammalia; Primates; Hominidae. The record is from RNAcentral.
AGAGAAUUGUUUGAACCCGGGAAGCGGAGGUUGCAGUGAGCUGAGAUUGUACCACUGCACUCCAGCUUGGGGAACAGAG